Molecule: ribosomal RNA, 213 nt
Filed under: uncultured bacterium
Lineage: Bacteria
Description: partial 16S ribosomal RNA
Rfam family: Bacterial small subunit ribosomal RNA
Source: RNAcentral
GACGACUUUCUGCACUCGAUNCNAACANGNUUAUGAUNAUGCUCAGAGUGNCGCUGGCUUAGCUACCAUGCAAGUCGAACGGCAGCACAGGAGAGCUUGCUCUCUGGGUGGCGAGUGGCGGACGGGUGAGGAAUACAUCGGAAUCUACUCUGUCGUGGGGGAUAACGUAGGAAACUUACGCUAAUACCGCAUACGACCUACGGGUGAAAGCAG